UAUCUCUGUAGAGUCUGCAUAUCAAUAAGCGGAGGAAAAGAAACUAACAAGGAUUCCCCUAGUAACGGCGAGUGAAGCGGGAAGAGCUCAAAUUUGAAAUCUUCAAGGUUUGACCUUGACGAAUUGUAGUUUAAAGAAGUGUUUUCGGUUAGAGGAGUAGUAAAAGUUCUUUGGAAUAGGACAUCAUAGAGGGUGAGAAUCCCGUAUUUGACUAUUCUUUCUAGCUUUGUGAUACACUUUCAAAGAGUCGGAUUGUUUGGGAAUGCAGUCCAAAAUGGGUGGUAAAUUUCAUCUAAAGCUAAAUAUUGGCGAGAGACCGAUAGCGAACAAGUACCGUGAGGGAAAGAUGAAAAGAACUUUGAAAAGAGAGUUAAACAGUACGUGAAAUUGUCAAAAGGGAAGCGUUUGACACCAGUGUUGUUUUCUCGAAAAUCAAUUAAAAAAGACUGGAUUUUGUGUUGUAUUGACUUUAUCAGCUUUCUGCACUCUUUUCUUGUCUUUUUUAAUGCACUUUUCGUUUAACAAGUCAACAUCAAUUUCUUUUGUUGUAAAAGGGUCAUUGGAAGGUGGCUUUCUCUUCGGAGAAAGUGUUUAUAGCCUUUAGGCUCUGCAAUCGGAGAGAUUGAGGUCUGCAGCGUAGAUCCUUCGGGGUUAGAUACAUUUGUGCUAAGCUAUAGCCUUGUAUAGACAACUUGUUGACUAUGCUCAGUCAUGUAGCUUACUCGCUAAGUGCUAUUUUACCUACGCUUAGGAUGUUGAGCGCAUGUCUCUCUCU
Molecule: ribosomal RNA, 775 nt
Filed under: uncultured Neocallimastigales
Lineage: Eukaryota; Fungi; Neocallimastigomycota; Neocallimastigomycetes; Neocallimastigales
Description: partial large subunit ribosomal RNA
Rfam family: Eukaryotic large subunit ribosomal RNA
Source: RNAcentral